CUUCACCCACAGAAUCACCAGAGAGAAAUACCCAAUCCUUGUUCAUAAAUCUGCAAGAUAAGAAAACAUAACUAUAUGCUAAUCUUAGAACCAAAUUGUGUGAUCCAUUGAAAAAAAAAACAGAAAGAAUGAAAAGAGUGUGGUGAUCCAACAACUGCAUGGAAUUAAAGAAGAGCAAACCUGUAAUUCUCUUCAAAUUUAUGAGCAAGCAAUGGCUUUUGUAUCAUCUUCUCUUCCUGCAAAAUUGUUUCAGUUUUUUCUUUUCAGGUUCUUAGUUUGUGUCAUUCUAUAUAUCUCUCAUCCAGCAAAACUGCUUCUUUUUGCACGAUUAGGUGUUUCUUUUCCUCCUCAACCC
This 355-nucleotide long non-coding RNA is filed under the name Malus domestica (apple). Its description in RNAcentral is "long non-coding RNA (MDOM_LNC015452)". Lineage: Eukaryota; Viridiplantae; Streptophyta; Magnoliopsida; Rosales; Rosaceae. The record is from RNAcentral.